This 425-nucleotide ribosomal RNA is filed under the name uncultured bacterium. RNAcentral describes it as "partial 16S ribosomal RNA". It matches the Rfam family "Bacterial small subunit ribosomal RNA", at positions 354 to 796 of the family's 1533-position model. The record is from RNAcentral.
GUGGGGAAUAUUGGACAAUGGGCGCAAGCCUGAUCCAGCCAUGCCGCGUGAGUGAUGAAGGCCUUAUGGUUGUAAAGCUCUUUUGUCCGGGAAGAUAAUGACUGUACCGGAAGAAUAAGCCCCGGCUAACUUCGUGCCAGCAGCCGCGGUAAUACGAAGGGGGCUAGCGUUGUUCGGAAUCACUGGGCGUAAAGCGCACGUAGGCGGACCAUUAAGUCAGGGGUGAAAGCCUGGAGCUCAACUCCAGAACUGCCUUUGAUACUGAUGGUCUCGAGUAUGGAAGAGGUUGGUGGAACUGCGAGUGUAGAGGUGAAAUUCGUAGAUAUUCGCAAGAACACCGGUGGCGAAGGCGGCCAACUGGUCCAUUACUGACGCUGAGGUGCGAAAGCGUGGGGAGCAAACAGGAUUAGAAACCCCGGUAGUCC